Molecule: ribosomal RNA, 274 nt
Filed under: uncultured bacterium
Lineage: Bacteria
Description: partial 16S ribosomal RNA
Rfam family: Bacterial small subunit ribosomal RNA
Source: RNAcentral
GCCAUUAGAUGACGCCCGCGUUGGAUUAGCUAGUUGGUGGGUAACGGCCCACCAAGGCGACGAUCCAUAGCUGGUCUGAGAGGAUGAUCAGCCACACUGGGACUGAGACACGGCCCAGACUCCUACGGGGAGGCAGCAGUGGGGAAUAUUGGACAAUGGGCGCAAGCCUGAUCCAGCCAUGCCGCGUGAGUGACGAAGGUCUUCGGAUUGUAAAGCUCUUUUGGCGGGGACGAUAAUGACGGUACCCGCAGAAUAAGCCCCGGCUAACUUCGUG